This 94-nucleotide transfer RNA is filed under the name Mycolicibacterium vulneris. Its description in RNAcentral is "tRNA-Arg". The record is from RNAcentral. Lineage: Bacteria; Bacillati; Actinomycetota; Actinomycetes; Mycobacteriales; Mycobacteriaceae.
UGAUCGAAUACGCCGGCGAGGUGAUCCUGGCCCGCGACGCCAGGCCGGAACGUGAUCCGGGUCUGAUCCUGCGGGUUGCGGCCGCAUCGGCCAG